Non-coding RNA from Vicia faba (fava bean), 345 nucleotides. The record is from the annotation of a GenBank genome assembly. Lineage: Eukaryota; Viridiplantae; Streptophyta; Magnoliopsida; Fabales; Fabaceae.
AUGGGAAGAAUUACCGGAAUCAAAAAGCGUCGGUCUUCAUUAGCGCAGUGGUUCACGAUUUCGUUUCCAAUUUGCGGUGGUGGUCUACAAGCGGAUCUGCAACAUGAGUUAAGUGUCGAUGGUGAUUGCGAUGUCGUAUGGAAGGCGUGGCUUGUCAGAGUUCGUCGGAUUCGUUUGCAGAUCUGGGUGUGGUUGGCAUGGAAGAAUGGAAGAAAGGUCGCGGUUGGAAUGAUGUGUAUCGAUGAACGGCGGGGUUCUGGUCACGCGAUGGAGGUGUUGUUAUUGCGGUGGCAUCUCUGUUUUCUUCUCUUUCUCAACAACCUAAAUGGAGCUCGAAUGAUGUGA